UGCGGCGGCCAUGGCCCAGGUGAGACGCCCGGUCCAUUCCGAACCCGGAAGCUAAGGCCUGCACGGCGAUGUACUGCACCCGACAGGGUGUGGGAGAGUAGCACGCCGCCGCAU
RNAcentral lists this ribosomal RNA (114 nucleotides) under Bifidobacterium longum subsp. longum. The record is from RNAcentral. Lineage: Bacteria; Bacillati; Actinomycetota; Actinomycetes; Bifidobacteriales; Bifidobacteriaceae.